RNAcentral lists this transfer RNA (85 nucleotides) under Felis catus (domestic cat). It matches the Rfam family "tRNA". From Rfam's summary of the family: Transfer RNA (tRNA) molecules are approximately 80 nucleotides in length. Lineage: Eukaryota; Metazoa; Chordata; Mammalia; Carnivora; Felidae. The record is from Rfam by way of RNAcentral.
GCCUGGGUGGCUUAGUCGGUUGAGCACCCGACUUCAGCUCAGGUCAUGAUCUCACGGUUUGUGGGUUCGAGCCCCACGUCGGGCU